CUGCACACUUCAACUCUUGUGUACGGUAACGAGGACCAAAUACUUGGAACAAUUGGUAUGUCCACUUGGCUUAUGGAGAAAGUUGAUGAAGCCAUUCCCAGGAUCCUGGAGUGGCUCAGAUAACUCUAAAAGCCCUCAAUGGAAGAGCUUCAACUUAUCAAAAAUGUGCAUACUAAUUCAACGUCUGCGGAGAGGAAAAUUCAACUUGAGGCAGCAGUAGAAAUUACGCAGAUGACCCACAGAAAAACGCCAUUUUUUUAGUCUUUGUUUGGUCGGGAAGUGUAAUCUCUUUCUAAGUGGAAAUGGUUGAGGCGGAUUCCACAGACAUGUGUAGGAAAAAUUGCAAGAGGUGCUCACGAGGCCAGUGGAGCAUCAACCUGCUAAUGGUAACUGGCUUGGACAAGAGCUAAGAGUCGUCCCCUACAAUGAUGAAGCAGAUUGAUGGCAAGUCCUGGGAGGGAACAACAUGGCGAGGUCGUGUCUGAGACGUAUAUAGCGAAUGGAAUGAUCAUACAACAGCAGUAUACAUCUGAUCCAAUGAUCCCUACAUACUCAUGCCU
Molecule: non-coding RNA, 560 nt
Organism: Cherax quadricarinatus
Lineage: Eukaryota; Metazoa; Arthropoda; Malacostraca; Decapoda; Parastacidae
Source: RefSeq, a predicted model, not a curated record